UGAGGGAAAGGCGAAAAGAACCCCGGCGAGGGGAGUGAAAAAGAACCUGAAACCGUGUACGUACAAGCAGUGGGAGCCCCACCACUAAGCCAGUGGUGAACUCCACAUCCGCAUCCUUUGCUGAGGAUACGGUUAACGGAGCGAAAGCGACGUUCAACCGCAAAACAAGCAGAGGGGGCUUAGUGGUGGGGUGACUGCGUACCUUUUGUAUAAUGGGUCAGCGACUUAUAUUCUGUAGCAAGGUUAACCGAAUAGGGGAGCCGGAGGGAAACCGAGUCUUAAUUGGGCGUUAAGUUGCAGGGUAUAGACCCGAAACCCGGUGAUCUAGCCAUGGGCAGGUUGAAGGUUGGGUAACACUAACUGGAGGACCGAACCGACUAAUGUUGAAAAAUUAGCGGAUGACCUGUGGCUGGGGGUGAAAGGCCAAUCAAACCGGGAGAUAGCUGGUUCUCCCCGAAAGCUAUUUAGGUAGCGCCUCGUGAAUUCAUCUCCGGGGGUAGAGCACUGUUUCGGCUAGGGGGCCAUCCCGGCUUACCAACCCGAUGCAAACUGCGAAUACCGGAGAAUGUUAUCACGGGAGACACACGGCGGGUGCUAACGUCCGUCGUGAAGAGGGAAACAACCCAGACCGCCAGCUAAGGUCCCAAAGUCAUGGUUAAGUGGGAAACGAUGUGGGAAGGCCCAGACAGCCAGGAUGUUGGCUUAGAAGCAGCCAUCAUUUAAAGAAAGCGUAAUAGCUCACUGGUCGAGUCGGCCUGCGCGGAAGAUGUAACGGGGCUAAACCAUGCACCGAAGCUGCGGCAGCGACGCUGAUGCGUUGUUGGGUAGGGGAGCGUUCUGUAAGCCUGUGAAGGUGUGUCGUGAGGCAUGCUGGAGGUAUCAGAAGUGCGAAUGCUGACAUAAGUAACGAUAAAGCGGGUGAAAAGCCCGCUCGCCGGAAGACCA
RNAcentral lists this ribosomal RNA (945 nucleotides) under Salmonella enterica subsp. enterica serovar Typhimurium. Its description in RNAcentral is "partial 23S ribosomal RNA". It matches the Rfam family "Bacterial large subunit ribosomal RNA", at positions 504 to 1347 of the family's 2925-position model. Lineage: Bacteria; Pseudomonadati; Pseudomonadota; Gammaproteobacteria; Enterobacterales; Enterobacteriaceae. The record is from RNAcentral.